UACGAAGGGGGCUAGCGUUGCUCGGAAUUACUGGGCGUAAAGGGCGCGUAGGCGGAUAUCUAAGUUGGGGGUGAAAUCCCGGGGCUCAACCUCGGAAUUGCCUUCAAAACUGGGUAUCUUGAGUUCGGGAGAGGUGAGUGGAACUCCGAGUGUAGAGGUGAAAUUCGUAGAUAUUCGGAAGAACACCAGUGGCGAAGGCGACUCACUGGCCCGAUACUGACGCUGAGGCGCGAAGGCGUGGGGAGCGAACAGG
This 253-nucleotide ribosomal RNA is filed under the name uncultured bacterium. Its description in RNAcentral is "partial 16S ribosomal RNA". It matches the Rfam family "Bacterial small subunit ribosomal RNA", at positions 524 to 776 of the family's 1533-position model. The record is from RNAcentral.